Molecule: small RNA, 2450 nt
Filed under: Pan troglodytes (chimpanzee)
Lineage: Eukaryota; Metazoa; Chordata; Mammalia; Primates; Hominidae
Description: retained intron
Source: RNAcentral
AGGCGAGCUGACAAAAGGGCGGCGCGCGUCUGAACCGCCAUUGGGGCCCACAGCUCCCUUAGGACUAGCUCUGGAUCCUCCCGGCGGGCCCCAGUGCAGAGAGCCCACGGCCAUCCAGUGCCUACAAUGGGGACCUCAAUGGACUUCUGGUCCCAGACCCGCUCUGCUCAGGUGAUGGUACCUCAGCAAACAAGACUGGUCUUCGGACCAUGCCACCCAUUAACCUGCAAGAGAAGCAGGUCAUCUGUCUCUCAGGAGAUGAUAGCUCCACCUGCAUUGGGAUUUUGGCCAAAGAGGUGGAGAUUGUGGCUAGCAGUGACUCUAGCAUUUCAAGCAAGGCCCGGGGAAGCAACAAGGUAAAAAUUCAGCCUGUCGCCAAGUAUGACUGGGAACAGAAGUACUACUAUGGCAACCUGAUUGCUGUGUCUAACUCCUUCUUGGCCUAUGCCAUUCGGGCUGCCAACAAUGGCUCUGCCAUGGUGCGGGUGAUCAGCGUCAGCACUUCGGAGCGGACCUUGCUCAAGGGCUUCACAGGCAGUGUGGCUGAUCUGGCUUUCGCGCACCUCAACUCUCCACAGCUGGCCUGCCUGGAUGAGGCAGGCAACCUGUUCGUGUGGCGCUUGGCUCUGGUUAAUGGCAAAAUUCAAGAAGAGAUCUUGGUCCAUAUUCGGCAGCCAGAGGGCACGCCACUGAACCACUUUCGCAGGAUCAUCUGGUGCCCCUUCAUCCCUGAGGAGAGCGAAGACUGCUGCGAGGAGAGCAGCCCGACAGUGGCCCUGCUGCAUGAAGACCGGGCUGAGGUGUGGGACCUGGACAUGCUCCGCUCCAGCCACAGUACCUGGCCUGUGGAUGUCAGCCAGAUCAAGCAGGGCUUCAUUGUGGUAAAAGGUCAUAGCACGUGCCUCAGUGAAGGAGCCCUCUCUCCUGAUGGGACUGUGCUGGCUACUGCGAGCCACGAUGGCUAUGUCAAGUUCUGGCAGAUCUACAUUGAGGGGCAAGAUGAGCCAAGGUGUCUGCACGAGUGGAAACCUCAUGAUGGGCGGCCCCUCUCCUGCCUCCUGUUCUGUGACAACCAUAAGAAACAAGAUCCUGAUGUCCCUUUCUGGAGGUUCCUUAUUACUGGUGCUGACCAGAACCGAGAGUUAAAGAUGUGGUGUACAGUAUCCUGGACUUGCCUGCAGACUAUUCGCUUCUCCCCAGAUAUCUUCAGUUCAGUGAGUGUGCCCCCUAGCCUCAAGGUUUGCUUGGACCUCUCAGCAGAAUACCUGAUUCUCAGCGAUGUGCAACGGAAGGUCCUCUAUGUGAUGGAGCUGCUGCAAAACCAGGAGGAGGGCCACGCCUGCUUCAGCUCCAUCUCGGAGUUCCUGCUCACCCACCCUGUGCUGAGCUUUGGUAUCCAGGUUGUGAGUCGCUGCCGGCUACGGCACACUGAGGUGCUGCCUGCCGAAGAGGAAAAUGACAGCCUGGGUGCUGAUGGUAUCCAUGGAGCCGGUGCCAUGGAGUCUGCGGCUGGUGUGCUCAUCAAGCUCUUUUGUGUGCAUACUAAGGCACUGCAAGAUGUGCAGAUCCGCUUCCAGCCACAGCUGAACCCUGAUGUGGUGGCCCCACUGCCCACCCACACUGCCCAUGAGGACUUUACAUUUGGAGAGUCUCGGCCCGAACUGGGCUCUGAGGGCCUGGGGUCAGCCGCUCACGGCUCCCAGCCUGACCUCCGACGAAUUGUGGAGCUGCCUGCACCCGCCGACUUCCUCAGUCUGAGCAGUGAGACCAAGCCCAAGUUGAUGACACCUGACGCCUUCAUGACACCUAGCGCCUCCUUGCAGCAGGUACUCUCCCAGGGUAGGGGGACCUGGGAAUGCCUCAGCCACAGGCCACAGGUCUUAUUUCCUGCAUCUCCCCAGAUCACUGCCUCUCCCAGCAGCAGCAGCAGCGGUAGCAGCAGCAGCAGCAGCAGUAGCAGCAGCUCCCUUACAGCUGUGUCUGCCAUGAGCAGCACCUCAGCUGUGGACCCCUCCUUGACCAGGCCACCUGAGGAGCUGACCUUGAGCCCCAAGCUGCAGCUGGAUGGCAGCCUGACAAUGAGCAGCAGUGGCAGCCUUCAGGCAAGCCCGCGUGGCCUCCUGCCUGGCCUGCUCCCAGCCCCAGCUGACAAACUGACUCCCAAGGGGCCGGGCCAGGUGUGUGACUGGGUGUGUGUGUGAAGUGUGGGGAGCAGGUGGGCGGCAGCAGGGAAGGUGGGUGGUGGGCUCCUCCCAGCCCCCUGCUGCUGAUCCUGCUCUACCCGACAUGGUCCAUGUUUCCCUGAGGUCAUUUCACCCUCCUGUGUUUCCUGGUGGGUGUCUCCUCAGCCUCCCUGUCCCCACCUCCUCUUCUUGGUUGUGGCCUCGUUUUUGACCUGUAUCCCCACUUCCCUGCUGCCCUGUCUCUCAUUACUACUAAUACCAAUGCCU